Molecule: ribosomal RNA, 468 nt
Filed under: uncultured bacterium
Lineage: Bacteria
Description: partial 16S ribosomal RNA
Rfam family: Bacterial small subunit ribosomal RNA
Source: RNAcentral
GACGAACGCUGGCGGCGUGCUUAACACAUGCAAGUCGAACGGAAAGGCCCUGCUUUUGUGGGGUGCUCGAGUGGCGAACGGGUGAGUAACACGUGAGUAACCUGCCCUUGACUUUGGGAUAACUUCAGGAAACUGGGGCUAAUACCGGAUAGGAGCUCCUGCUGCAUGGUGGGGGUUGGAAAGUUUCGGCGGUUGGGGAUGGACUCGCGGCUUAUCAGCUUGUUGGUGGGGUAGUGGCUUACCAAGGCUUUGACGGGUAGCCGGCCUGAGAGGGUGACCGGCCACAUUGGGACUGAGAGACGGCCCAGACUCCUACGGGAGGCAGCAGUGGGGAAUAUUGCACAAUGGGCGGAAGCCUGAUGCAGCAACGCCGCGUGCGGGAUGACGGCCUUCGGGUUGUAAACCGCUUUCGCCUGUGACGAAGCGUGAGUGACGGUAAUGGGUAAAGAAGCACGGGCUAACUACGUG